This 433-nucleotide ribosomal RNA is filed under the name uncultured bacterium. RNAcentral describes it as "partial 16S ribosomal RNA". It matches the Rfam family "Bacterial small subunit ribosomal RNA", at positions 29 to 507 of the family's 1533-position model. The record is from RNAcentral.
AACGAACGCUGGCGGCAUGCCUAACACAUGCAAGUCGAACGAGACCUUCGGGUCUAGUGGCGCACGGGUGCGUAACGCGUGGGAACCUGCCCUUAGGUUCGGAAUAACUCCCCGAAAGGGGUGCUAAUACCGGAUAAUGUCUUCGGACCAAAGAUUUAUCGCCUUUGGAUGGGCCCGCGUUGGAUUAGCUAGUUGUUAGGGUAAAAGCCUACCAAGGCGACGAUCCAUAGCUGGUCUGAGAGGAUGAUCAGCCACACUGGGACUGAGACACGGCCGAGACUCCUACGGGAGGCAGCAGUGGGGAAUAUUGGACAAUGGGCGAAAGCCUGAUCCAGCAAUGCCGCGUGAGUGAUGAAGGCCUUAGGGUUGUAAAGCUCUUUUACCCGGGAUGAUAAUGACAGUACCGGGAGAAUAAGCUCCGGCUAACUCCGUG